GAUGAACGCUGGCGGCGUGCCUAAUACAUGCAAGUCGAGCGAACGGACGAGAAGCUUGCUUCUCUGAUGUUAGCGGCGGACGGGUGAGUAACACGUGGAUAACCUCCCUAUAAGACUGGGAUAACUUCGGGAAACCGUAGCUAAUCCCGGAUAAUAUUUUGAACCGCAUGGUUCAAAAGUGAAAGACGGUCUUUCUGUCUCUUAUAGAUGGAUCCGAGCUGCAUUAGCUAGUUGGUAAGGUAACGGCUUACCAAGGCAACGAUGCAUAGCCGACCUGAGAGGGGGAUCGGCCACACGGGAACUGAGACACGGUCCAGACUCCUACGGGAGGCAGCAGUAGGGAAUCUUCCGCAAUGGGCGGAAGCCUGACGGAGCAACGCCGCGUGAGUGAUGAAGGUCUUCGGAUCGUAAAACUCUGUUAUUAGGGAAGAACAUAUGUGUAAGUAACUGUGCACAUCUUGACGGUACCUAAUCAGAAAGCCACGGCUAACUACGUG
This 497-nucleotide ribosomal RNA is filed under the name uncultured bacterium. RNAcentral's name for it is "partial 16S ribosomal RNA". It matches the Rfam family "Bacterial small subunit ribosomal RNA", at positions 28 to 507 of the family's 1533-position model. The record is from RNAcentral.